GUCGAACGAAUCCUUUCGGGGAUUAGUGGCGGACGGGUGAGUAACGCGUGAGAAUCUACCAAAAGGACUGGGACAACCACUGGAAACGGUGGCUAAUACCGGAUGAGCCGCAACGUAAAAGAGGAAACUCGCCUUUUGAAGAGCUCGCGUCUGAUUAGCUAGUUGGUGAGGUAAAGGCUCACCAAGGCGGCGAUCAGUAGCUGGUCUGAGAGGAUGACCAGCCACACUGGGACUGAGACACGGCCCAGACUCCUACGGGAGGCAGCAGUGGGGAAUUUUCCGCAAUGGGCGAAAGCCUGACGGAGCAAGACCGCGUGAGGGAGGAAGGCUCUUGGGUUGUAAACCUCUUUUGUCAGGGAAGAACACAAUGACGGUACCUGAAGAAUCAGCAUCGGCUAACUCCGUGCCAGCAGCCGCGGUAAUACGGAGGAUGCAAGCGUUAUCCGGAAUUAUUGGGCGUAAAGCGUCCGCAGGUGGCACUUCAAGUCUGCUGUCAAAGACCGGGGCUUAACCCUGGAAAGGCAGUGGAAACUGAAGCGCUAGAGUGUGGCAGGGGUAGAGGGAAUUCCCGGUGUAGCGGUGAAAUGCGUAGAGAUCGGGAAGAACAUCGGUGGCGAAAGCGCUCUACUGGGCCACAACUGACACUCAGGGACGAAAGCUAGGGGAGCGAAUGGGAUUAGAUACCCCAGUAGUC
This 694-nucleotide ribosomal RNA is filed under the name uncultured cyanobacterium. Its description in RNAcentral is "bacterial SSU rRNA". It matches the Rfam family "Bacterial small subunit ribosomal RNA", at positions 61 to 795 of the family's 1533-position model. The record is from RNAcentral. Lineage: Bacteria; Bacillati; Cyanobacteriota.